GACGAACGCUGGCAGCGUGCCUAAUACAUGCAAGUCGAACGAACUCUGGUAUUGAUUGGUGCUUGCAUCAUGAUUUACAUUUGAGUGAGUGGCGAACUGGUGAGUAACACGUGGGAAACCUGCCCAGAAGCGGGGGAUAACACCUGGAAACAGAUGCUAAUACCGCAUAACAACUUGGACCGCAUGGUCCGAGCUUGAAAGAUGGCUUCGGCUAUCACUUUUGGAUGGUCCCGCGGCGUAUUAGCUAGAUGGUGGGGUAACGGCUCACCAUGGCAAUGAUACGUAGCCGACCUGAGAGGGUAAUCGGCCACAUUGGGACUGAGACACGGCCCAAACUCCUACGGGAGGCAGCAGUAGGGAAUCUUCCACAAUGGACGAAAGUCUGAUGGAGCAACGCCGCGUGAGUGAAGAAGGGUUUCGGCUCGUAAAACUCUGUUGUUAAAGAAGAACAUAUCUGAGAGUAACUGUUCAGGUAUUGACGGUAUUUAACCAGAAAGCCACGGCUAACUACGUGCCAGCAGCCGCGGUAAUACGUAGGUGGCAAGCGUUGUCCGGAUUUAUUGGGCGUAAAGCGAGCGCAGGCGGUUUUUUAAGUCUGAUGUGAAAGCCUUCGGCUCAACCGAAGAAGUGCAUCGGAAACUGGGAAACUUGAGUGCAGAAGAGGACAGUGGAACUCCAUGUGUAGCGGUGAAAUGCGUAGAUAUAUGGAAGAACACCAGUGGCGAAGGCGGCUGUCUGGUCUGUAACUGACGCUGAGGCUCGAAAGUAUGGGUAGCAAACAGGAUUAGAUACCCUGGUAGUCCAUACCGUAAACGAUGAAUGCUAAGUGUUGGAGGGUUUCCGCCCUUCAGUGCUGCAGCUAACGCAUUAAGCAUUCCGCCUGGGGAGUACGGCCGCAAGGCUGAAACUCAAAGGAAUUGACGGGGGCCCGCACAAGCGGUGGAGCAUGUGGUUUAAUUCGAAGCUACGCGAAGAACCUUACCAGGUCUUGACAUACUAUGCAAAUCUAAGAGAUUAGACGUUCCCUUCGGGGACAUGGAUACAGGUGGUGCAUGGUUGUCGUCAGCUCGUGUCGUGAGAUGUUGGGUUAAGUCCCGCAACGAGCGCAACCCUUAUUAUCAGUUGCCAGCAUUAAGUUGGGCACUCUGGUGAGACUGCCGGUGACAAACCGGAGGAAGGUGGGGAUGACGUCAAAUCAUCAUGCCCCUUAUGACCUGGGCUACACACGUGCUACAAUGGAUGGUACAACGAGUUGCGAACUCGCGAGAGUAAGCUAAUCUCUUAAAGCCAUUCUCAGUUCGGAUUGUAGGCUGCAACUCGCCUACAUGAAGUCGGAAUCGCUAGUAAUCGCGGAUCAGCAUGCCGCGGUGAAUACGUUCCCGGGCCUUGUACACACCGCCCGUCACACCAUGAGAGUUUGUAACACCCAAAGUCGGUGGGGUAACCUUUUAGGAACCAGCCGCCUAAGGUGGGACAGAUGAUUAGGGUG
This 1489-nucleotide ribosomal RNA is filed under the name Lactiplantibacillus plantarum. RNAcentral's name for it is "bacterial SSU rRNA". It matches the Rfam family "Bacterial small subunit ribosomal RNA". Lineage: Bacteria; Bacillati; Bacillota; Bacilli; Lactobacillales; Lactobacillaceae. The record is from RNAcentral.